CGCCUGUUUAUCAAAAACAUGUCUUUUUGAUUAAUAAUUUAAAGUCUGGUCUGCCCACUGAUUAAAUUAAUUAAAGGGCUGCAGUAUUUUGACUGUACAAAGGUAGCAUAAUAAUUAGUCUUUUAAUUGAUGACUUGUAUGAAUGAUUGGAUAAAAUAUAAUCUGUCUCUUAAUAAAUUUAUAGAAUUUAAUUUUUUAUUUAAAAAGUUAAAAUAAUUUUAAAAGACGAGAAGACCCUAUAGAGUUUAAUAAUUUUAUAAAUUAAAAUUAUAUUUAUAAAUUUAAUUAAAAAUUAUAUAAUUAUUUUAUUGGGGUGAUAAAAAAAUUAAUAAAACUUUUUUUAAAUAUUAACAAAAAUAAUUGAAUAUUUGAUCCAAUUUUAUUUUGAUUAUAAGAUUAAAUUACCUUAGGGAUAACAGCGUAAUUUUUUUUUUUAGUUCUUAUAAAAAAGAAAGUUUGCGACCUCGAUGUUGGAUUAAGAUAAAAUUUAAAUGCAAAAGUUUAAAACUUUGAUCUGUUCGAUCAUUAAAAUCUUACAUGAUCUGAGUUCAAACCGGAG
This 559-nucleotide ribosomal RNA is filed under the name Yponomeuta mahalebellus. Its description in RNAcentral is "partial 16S ribosomal RNA". The stretch from base 412 to 559 matches the Rfam family "Archaeal large subunit ribosomal RNA", at positions 2542 to 2690 of the family's 2987-position model. Lineage: Eukaryota; Metazoa; Arthropoda; Insecta; Lepidoptera; Yponomeutidae. The record is from RNAcentral.